GGAUAAUUGCUCGAGUUUUUUCCUCUUCUCUAAUCAAGUCGAUUGCUGUGUUACAAGGUACGUAGAUGGUUACAGGUGCAGCUACAUCUGAAAAUUUCAUUCUUAAACGUCAAAUAAAGCAACCAAAUAUUUAAUUUGUUCCCUAAUGAUCAUAUUUGGUGUUAUUUCUUUAGGAUGGUGCAUGGAGAACAUGCUCUGUUGCCAUCUUCAUCCGCCAAUUGGCUCCCAAAUCUAAAAGGUGUGGCUGCCGAAACAUGAGUCUAACAAGGCGCGGCUGCUGAACCAGGAGAACCGCAGACCUGGUCACAAUGAAUGAGUUUGAGACAAACCUUGUGUCAUGUGUUAUCGCACUCAGAUAUCGGAGCCUUGGAGAAUGUAAAAGAAAUGUUAAACGGGUAGAUGUGGCCCCUCUAAACUUACCUGAAUUGUUCAGCAAAGGUCCGCGAUUAAUGGUACCCAUGUACAUUCAGUAGGGCGAGUUGGUCUUGCUAUAUUGCAUUCAGGCAUAGUGUUGAUAUUUCAUCAAAAAUAAGUUCAAGCAUGAUAUUUAAGAUCAAUUCUGGAAGAAUGACCUGACACACCUGAACAUAAGAAAAACAUAAGGUGACUAAAAAAUACAUUGAACCAAAUGUGCCUGACUGAAUUUUAUUUGGAAUCGUACGUGUUAUUAUUCUUUGGAUGUGGCUGGCCAUUGCUAGCAUGCAUACAUGUAGCCACAUCUAUGUGAUAUGGUCAGUAUAUAUCUAUCAUGAGAAUAGUAUCUCAUGCAAUCAAGUCACAAUUGUUUAAAUUUCAAAAAGCCAAACUGAAGAACAAGCUGAAUACUGCUCCUUCCUCGCUCGCGUCGCUCCCAGGGGGCGGCACGGGCGAUAACCUAGCCGCCGCCGCCCCCACUCCGCGCUCCUUCCUCGCUCCCCUGCCACCGCCGGGGGAUGCCGACGGGCAAAUCUCGCUCGGCAGACGGCGGCGGCGGGGCCUCCUCGUCGUGUGGCGUGCGGCUUCGGCCCUGGACGGAGCUCCACUCCUGGUUGCGGCUGGGCGGCGGCGGGUCCUCUCGCCGGCGCAGGUAAGCCGGGGCAAGGUGGCGGCGCUGCUCCUUCCGACUCUCUACUGAGGGUGUUCGGGGCGGUGCUACCGCCGCGGAUCUGACGACCGACGUCCGGAUCUGCCGGUGGUGGCACUCUGGCGUGCUGCUGUGCCGGCGCUGCGGCUUGCAGCGGCUGCUGGGCGUGCUGAGUGCUGGAGUCCCCUCCCUCGGCUGGGGGAGCUACGGUGGCGGCGGAAAGCUGCAGUUUUUGGACGGCGGCACGGCGGUGCCGCGAUGGUGUUUAUGCUACGGUGGCUGUGGAGAUUGGUCUCCGUCCCUGUACUGGUGUGCUCAUCUUCUGCUUGUUCUGUAGCAGAGGGCUGGGCUUGAGGUAGUUGUGGUUGUGGCCGGAGGCCGGAGGCGUGAUGGCACGGCGUGGUGCUCCGUUGCAUCAUGCAGGUUUUCGGUCGUGGACUGGGCGGUGGAAGCCGGGGCGGCGGCUCCGGACGGUGGAAGUACGCCGAGGCGGCGGCCUCGGAUGGCGAUGCAACGGCGGCUCUAUGGGGUAGGUUCGUGGCUCUGCAUGGCUUGGGCGGCGACUUGGUGCUACAAGGGUAGCGAGGUCGUCGGCCUGGUUGGACGCGGCCCGAGGGGUUGGUCUGGCAGGAAGUCGGGGCGGCGGCUCCGGAUGUUUGGCACAGCGUUCGUGGUCUGCGGUCGGUCGUCUCGUGUAGCAAGGGCUACAAGGCCCUCGAACCGUGCGGCGCUAUGGCUUGUGAGCGGGCGGGGGAUGUCGGAGCGGCGGCUCCGGAGCUGGGGGUGUGUGUUUGUUGCGAUUGUGGCCUUGUGUCGUGUGGUCGACAAGGCUUCCUUGCUUGUGCGGUUUUUUGGCUCGGUUUUCCUUAUAAACCGGCCACUUUGUGAGGUUUUCGAUCCGGUUUCCCUUAUAAACUGGAUCAAUUCUCUUCUUCUAUAAUGAAAUGCCAGAGCUCCUGGCCCUCUGACGAGGUUCUGUCAAAAAAAAGUCACAAUUGUUUAUCCUCUUUGAUUAUCUUGCACUGCAGAAUUGUUGUACGGAACAAUUUAUAGGUGGUAUUCGUUAUUUCUCGGUAUGUAUAUGAACAAUGAUCGCACAUAUUCCUGUAAGCUAUAUUCUCUUCACA
Long non-coding RNA from Aegilops tauschii subsp. strangulata, 2190 nucleotides. RefSeq lists it as uncharacterized. Lineage: Eukaryota; Viridiplantae; Streptophyta; Magnoliopsida; Poales; Poaceae. The record is from RefSeq and is a predicted model, not a curated record.